Molecule: small nuclear RNA, 110 nt
Organism: Pteropus vampyrus (large flying fox)
Lineage: Eukaryota; Metazoa; Chordata; Mammalia; Chiroptera; Pteropodidae
Source: Ensembl
GUGCUCGCUUCAGCAGCACAUAUACUAAAAUUGGAACAAUACAGGGAAGAUUAGCAUGGCCCCUGUACAAGGAUGACACACAAAAUUAAAUCGAAAUGGACCACAGAACU